GAACAAUUGAGAUAACUCACUACCUUCUGACCAGCCCAAGGCUCUCUUUUUAUCUGGGACCAGCCCAAGGCUCUCUUUUUAUCUGGGAAGAAAAUCUUUUCUAGCAACUUCCCAGACAAGGAACAGAACCAGUUCGUGUGUCCACAUGUCCGUUGCUACACCCAUAUCUACAAAGGAGAAGGGAGUGCUCUGACUGGGGCUGGGGCAGGGACCUAUCCACCCCUGAAUCUGUUCUGCUUCCCAAAGACACUGGAGUUCUAUCAGCCUAGAAGCAGGGAUUACAUGGCUUUUGGAUACUGACUGAUACAUGGGACAUCAAGUAGAGUCAUCAGAUGAUACUGCCUCAGUGGUGAGAGCAAAUUAGCCUUAGACCAAAGGCUAUUCUCCUCUUGCCAAAUGGUACCUAAAAGCACACCUUAAAAGGAUCAAUCUGUUUCCAAGGAACUUAACUAAGUCCCUGAACGAGGCUCAAAUAUAUUCAAAGGAAUACAAAAAAAUCUAGCACCAAACAACAUAAAAUAUACAAUGUCUGGCAUCCAAUCAAUAAUUACCAGGCAUGCAAAGACACAGGCAAAUAAUGACACAAAGCUGACCCAGAAAUGUCACAGAAUUAGUAGACAAGGACUUUAGCUCCAAUAGCUAUUAUUAAAUACCAUCCAUAUAUUCAAACAGAUAUGGAAAAACAUAAACACGAUGUAAAGAGGUGUGAAGAUAUAAAAUAAGACCUCAAUUGAACUUCUAAAGAUGAAAUGUAUAAUAUCUGAGAUGAAAAGUAUACUGGAUGGAAAUAAAAGCAGAUUAGACCCUGUAGAAAACAGGUUUUUGAAGACUUAGCAAUAGAAACUAUCCAAGAUGAAACACAGAGAGGAAAAAAAGACUUAAAAACAAAAAACAAAAAACAAAAACAAAACCUCCAAAACCAAAAUCCAGAAAAUCAGUGAGCUGUGGAAUAACAAGUAGCCUGUAUACCUGUUUGGAGACCAGAAACGUGGGUCUAACAGAUUCACAGGAGAGAUGACAGAAAAAAUAUCUGAAGGAACAAUAAUUUUCAAAUUUGAUGGAAACUAUAAAUCCCUAUGUCGAAGAAGCUCAAUAAACCCUAAGCAGAAGAAAUAUGAAGACAACUACACCAAGGGUACAUCAUAAUCUGCCUUAAUCACUGCUGAACACCAGUGAUAAAGACACAAAUCUUAAGAGCUGCCAGAGGAAAAAAACACAUUGUGUAAAAAGGAAAAAUAGAAGUGAUUUCUCGUCAGAAACAAUGCAACCCUGAAGACAGUGGAGUAAUGUCUUUAAAGUACGAAAAGAUAAAAACUGUCAACCUAGAAUUCAGUGGAGAUAUCUUUCAAAUAGGAAGAUGGAAUAAAGAUGCAUUCAGACAUUCCAAAAUUGAAAGAAUUCAUCAUCAGUAGACCUGCACUAGAAGAACGGCUUUAAAAAGUCCUUCAAGCAGAAGAAAAAUGAUACCAGAUGGAAAUCUCCGUCUACACAAAGGAAUGAAGAGAGCUGGAAAUGGUUCUCAAAUCCCCUGAAAUCCAUAGACUCCAGUCAAGAACCUCAAUUACAGCAUGGAAGGGGAAGAAAAGGUGGAAACCAUAAUUGAUGGAGCCUUUAACUCCCUGCGUCAUUUAAU
Molecule: long non-coding RNA, 1633 nt
Filed under: Homo sapiens (human)
Lineage: Eukaryota; Metazoa; Chordata; Mammalia; Primates; Hominidae
Description: HSALNT0015649
Source: RNAcentral